CUUUCGCUGUGCCCAAUUAGCUGCUGCCGCGCCUUGGAGUCCGGAGUAACUUGGCCAGGCUGGCCCCGAGCGGAACUGGAGAAAGCUGAGGCUCUAACCAUGGAAUACUGGGAAUGUCCCUUUCUGUGAAGGAGGUUUGUCAGCCACAACAGGAAUAUUCAUGAACAUGAAGGGGUUGGGCAUGUUCCAGGAUCUGUCUAUCGACUUCUCUCAGGAGGAAUGGGAGGGCCUGGACACUGCUCAGAAGGACUUAUAGAGAGAUGUAAUGAUGGAGAACUAUAGCAGCCUGGUCUCACUAGGUCUCUCUAUCCCAAAGCCUGAUGUGAUUUCCUUACUGGAGCAAGGGAAAGAGUCCUGCAUGGUUUCAAGGGACGUACCAGGAGGAUGGUGCCCAGUUUUCCUUUAAUGCAGCCAUUUCAUGCAUCAAUGGAUAUUCAUUCAGCACUCUUUUUUUUUUUUUGGAUACAGAGUCUCACUCUGUAGCCCGGGCUGGAGUGCAGUGGUGUGAUCUUGUCUCACUGGAAGCCAAUAAGAAACGCUUGGGGAUGACCUCCCUACAAGCACAGGAAAACCAUUCCUGCGCAUUUCUGCGCUGGAACGCCUACCUUUAGUGCCGUUUCCUGCGCUUUCUUGCAGAUUUGUAUCAGGCACUGGAGAACCUCCCACCUGGUCCAUGCCCGGCUCCCGGUGAGCACCGAGACCCAACCUUGUGCACAGCCAGUCUUGUCAUCAACAAACAGGGUAGUAAAUUAUAAAAAAUAAAAUAAAGGAAAUGUAGCUGGGCGUGGUGGCAUGCGCCUGUAAUCCCAGCUACUCCGGAGGCUGAUGCAGGAGAAUCGCUUGAACCCAGGAGGUGAAGGUUGCAGUGAGGCGAGAUCGCGCCACUGCGCUCCAGCGUGGAUGGCAAGAGCGAAACUCCUUCUCGAAAUAAUAAAUAAAAUAAAGGAAAUAGGGCCGGGCAUGGUGGCUCACGCCUGUAAUUCCAGCACUUUUGGUGGCCGAGGCGGGCAGAUCACUUGAGGUCAGAAGUUCGAGACCAGUCUGGCCAACAUGGUGAAACCCCUUCUCUACUAAAAAUAAACAAUUAGCCAGGCAUGGUGGCGGGAGCCUGUAAUCCCAGCUAUUUGUGAGGCGGAGACACAAGAAUCGCUUGAAUCCCGGAGACAGAGGUUGCAGUGAGCCGAGCUCGUGCCACUGCGCUCCAGCCUGGGCGACAGAGCAAGACUCCAUCUUAAAAUAAAAUAGGCCGGCCGAGGGUGCUCAUGCCUGUAAUCACAGCAUUUUGGAGGCUGAGGCGGGUGGAUUGCCUGAGCUCAGGAGUUCAAGACCAUCCUGGCCUACAUGGUGAAACCCCAUCUCUACUAAAAAUGCAAAAAUUAGCCGGGCAUGGUGGCGCAUGCCUGUAAUCCUAGCUACUUUGGAGGCUGAGGCAGGAGAACAGUUUCAACCCAGGAGGCGGAAGUUGCAGUGAGCCGAGACCGCCACAUUGCACUCCAGCUUGGGCAAGAGGAUUGAAACUCCAUCACAAAAAUAAAUAAAUAAAUAAAUAAAUAAAUAAAUAUAAAAGAAAUAGACAAAGCAAAUCUUAAUGCAUGAACUCAAACAAAUGCUUUCACUGCCAGGCUCCAUCUUUGCAAAACUGAACCUAGGACAAUGUGAACGUUUCUAACUAGCAAUUCUGGAGGACAGAUCAGGGAGGCAGCGUGAGCUUGCUUUUCUGCAAUUUAAUUGACUGGUCAGUAAAGUCAGUGUUUGCAGGCAUUUUCAAUGUUCUAUAGUGGGCUUCAGUGCCUGUGGCAGGCCAGGUUUGCAAUAGCAACCAGAACAGUUUCUACUAACCCUUUACUAUAAUUUUGAUGAAUGCAUAAGUUAACGUUAAAGAAAUGGAGAAACUGGUGCCUGAGUAUCACGGAUGGAAUGUGAAAACAAACCCACUGAGACCCCGUCUGGGUUUUCUCAGACCCUAAAAUCUGAUCGAAUAAUGAUAGCGUUCGUACACAUUCACCUCGGCCUGUCUUAAGAUUCAAAAACUUUCCAAGACUCUAGGGAAAUCUUUCCAGACGCUAGACCCGAGUUAAAGAUUAGAUGUUGAUUGAAUGAAACACUCCUGCUUGUAGGUGCAAUCCCACAUGGAGCUUAAGAUAUAUAUAAGCACUAGAAAAAAAAACUUGUAACUUUGAGUUGAUCUGGUGAUUUACCUGGCGCUUCUCCCUGUAAGUGGCUGCAGAAAUAAACUUCCUUCUUUCCCAGUCUGUCUGUAUCUUAGUAUUGAACAAUUGCGAUGGAGCUGCCCAGCAAAGUCCUCUUCUAUGUGGUUAUCUGGGACUCCUUUUGGAGGGAACAUUUUAAAUUUUCCAUUUCAAAGCAUUCUGUUGGCCUUCUUACACUGUUUUUCUCUGCCUAUCCUGGGACCUGAGUUCUCCUGGACAUGAAUCUGCAGCCACAGAGCCUAGAAGCUCAUUCCUCCACAUUCUGUGACUGUUCCCCAAACACAGGGAGAAUUUGCAGAAAAUAAGCCCAAAAAUCUUGCCAUUCUUUGCAAUAAAACCCCACAUUACAAACUGCUGAAAACAGGAUUUUAGCCUGAAUAGGUUGUUCCUCUAUUUGAAAGCCUUUACAAUUUCGGAGGGAAGUUUCCAAAUCAAUCAGUAAGUACCCCCCACUCCAGGUUUAUCCUUAUGUAAAGUGCCCCCUUUGCACAUGCAAGAUUGAAUAAACCUUGAAAAUAUUAUGCUAAGUGAAAGAAGCCGGUCACAAAGGACCACAUGGUAUGUAAUUCCAUUUAAAUAAAAUGUCCAAAAUAGACCAACACAUAGAAACAGAAAGUAGAUUUGUGGUGGCCCAGGAUUAGGGGAGUUGGGGGGAAAUGGAGGGAUAUGGUGUUUACUUCAGGGUAAUGAAAAUGAUCUAAAAUUUAUUGUGGUGAUGUUUGCAUAACAGUGCAAAUAUACUGAAAACCACUGAAUUUUACACUUUAAAUCAGUGGCUUCUGUGGUAUGUUAUCAAUAUUUCUCAAUAAAACUUCAAAAAAA
Molecule: long non-coding RNA, 3032 nt
Organism: Homo sapiens (human)
Lineage: Eukaryota; Metazoa; Chordata; Mammalia; Primates; Hominidae
Exons: 5
Source: RefSeq, marked validated